This 946-nucleotide long non-coding RNA is filed under the name Physcomitrium patens. RNAcentral describes it as "long non-coding RNA (PPAT_LNC003308)". The record is from RNAcentral. Lineage: Eukaryota; Viridiplantae; Streptophyta; Bryopsida; Funariales; Funariaceae.
GUUACCGACACCAGUGAUUCAUGCCACCAGGGAACCACCGACAUCGGAAACGAUCAUGCGCAAUGCAUUUCGCACAAUCUAGGCCGAGACAAAAGACGUAUUUGACGGUGGAAUCAUGAACAUGGUGCGAUGAUCAUCUUACAAGAGUCAAGGUUGCACGAUUAGCGUCAAGAAGACAGCUGACCCACUUCACCACGCCGCCCUUCACCGCCUCGCUUGCCGCUUCUCCAGGUGCAGUACCUUUAGAAUAGCACCGACAAUAAUCCACAACGUAAGCUCGGAACACUAACUGCACAUACGGGAUCAACCCUAGUGACAGAAUUCCCCCGAGCAAAACCAACACCACAAUCUCUAGAAUCGUGUGCAGUUUCCUACUGCCGACACUGGUCGGAUUCGGUACAUUUGUCGAUGUUGUGUUGUUGUGUGUGAUGAUUGGAUGGGUCCCUCCAGCUAGAUGUCGCAGUGGACUGUAGAGUGGGUUGCUCCGGUACAUCCCCGAGGCGUUUGGCUGGAAUGUGUCUGAGACUCUUUCUGGCUUGCCGCACGAGCUGCAUAGGCAGUACAUCGGAGUUGCAGUUGCUGGAAUCGAUUCUGGAGUUGAGCAGUUGAUGGAGGCUGCUUCUUCAGUGGUGAGGCUGUUUUUUUCGAGGUCGGAGGUCGUGGCGGUGACGGAGCCGCCGCCUUGCGAGGACUGGUUAGAGGAUUUUGUGGAGGAUUGUUGGGAAGUGUUCAUCGGGGCUUGGUUUAAUUCUGGUGAUGCCAAGCAUAAUUCCACGGGUUGAGUUUGAGGUUCUCGUUGCAGUGGAUGCGAGCGAGGCGAGGUGCUCUGAAGUUGGAAGGUCUGUUGCGGCGUGAACAGCCCUGAAGUCGGUUUUCUAGGCAUCACCCACUGUGGAUAGGAAGAUGCUUUGCGUGGCGAUUUUGUUGAAGUGGUAAAUGGGAGGGG